RNAcentral lists this ribosomal RNA (253 nucleotides) under uncultured bacterium. RNAcentral's name for it is "partial 16S ribosomal RNA". It matches the Rfam family "Bacterial small subunit ribosomal RNA", at positions 524 to 776 of the family's 1533-position model. The record is from RNAcentral.
UACGUAGGGUGCGAGCGUUGUCCGGAAUUAUUGGGCGUAAAGGGCUCGUAGGUGGCCAACUAAGUCAGACGUGAAAUCCCUCAGCUUAACUGGGGAACUGCGUCUGAUACUGGAUGGCUUGAGUUUGGGAGAGGGAUGCGGAAUUCCAGGUGUAGCGGUGAAAUGCGUAGAUAUCUGGAGGAACACCGGUGGCGAAGGCGGCAUCCUGGACCAAUACUGACACUGAGGAGCGAAAGCCAGGGGAGCAAACGGG